This 377-nucleotide ribosomal RNA is filed under the name uncultured bacterium. RNAcentral's name for it is "bacterial SSU rRNA". It matches the Rfam family "Bacterial small subunit ribosomal RNA", at positions 28 to 407 of the family's 1533-position model. The record is from RNAcentral.
GACGAACGCUGGCGGCGUGCUUAACACAUGCAAGUCGAACGGAAAGGCCCUUUCGGGGGUACUCGAGUGGCGAACGGGUGAGUAACACGUGGGUGAUCUGCCCUGCACUUCGGGAUAAGCUUGGGAAACUGGGUCUAAUACCGGAUAGGACUACGGACUGCAUGGUCUGUGGUGGAAAGCUUUUGCGGUGUGGGAUGGGCCCGCGGCCUAUCAGCUUGUUGGUGGGGUGAUGGCCUACCAAGGCGACGACGGGUAGCCGGCCUGAGAGGGUGUCCGGCCACACUGGGACUGAGAUACGGCCCAGACUCCUACGGGAGGCAGCAGUGGGGAAUAUUGCACAAUGGGCGCAAGCCUGAUGCAGCGACGCCGCGUGGGGA